Manacus vitellinus (golden-collared manakin) is the source of this 1424-nucleotide long non-coding RNA. The record is from Ensembl. Lineage: Eukaryota; Metazoa; Chordata; Aves; Passeriformes; Pipridae.
CUGACCGGCCAUUUUCCCCCCAGGCUGCCAGGACCUUAUCAGGUGGUGUUUGUCCAUCCGCCCCUCGGACAGGCCAGCAUUGGAAGACCUUUUGUGCCAUCCUUGGGUGCAGGGCAUUCCCCUGCCCUAGAAGACGGGAGAGAUCCACGUGCUCACUUUGAUCCAGGGGCCUGGCAAACAGCUGGGCCCUCGGCAGAACGCUGACAGCCUGGUCUGGCCCCCAGGGAAGGAGAAGGGGCCUCUGGAGAAGCUGUGCCGGGUGGGGCUGCUGCUGGAGACAUCGAGGACGACGUCAGGGAUGACAAGCUCUUAGUUGACCUGGACGCCGGCGAGCUGAAGAUGAUGGACUUUGAUUGUGGCCCCUUCCUCCAAGCCGUGCUCCACAGGCCGUUUGCAGAUGAGUCCACACCCGGGGGUGCUCCCGGCCGCGGGCAUUGCUCAGCCUGGCUGGGCACCGAAGGGUCCCCCUUUGCUGCUGGGGAACCUGAGGAAUUCUUCAGCCGGCUGCCAAGCUGCUUCUUGGCAGGAGGGCGGGCGGGUGCUCUGGGCUGGGUGUGAAAUGGGAGCCCGGCUCUGCCACCAGCCUCUGCCACUGCCCCUUUGCUGGGCGGGGCUGGGGCAGGGGCAGCCAGCCUGCCAAAAACAAACCCCGUGGGGGGAGCAAAGGCGGGGCUGCAGAACACCAGCUGCUUUGGGCUGCAGGCCAGGAAAGGCUGGGGCUGCCUUGGCUUAGGAGCCUUUCUUUGGGCCAGUGCAGCAGGGCAGGGAGAAGGCCUGGGUUUUCCUGAGCUGGAGGAGGUGGGGUUUUUCUUUGGCCUGGAGGGCUUGGGCCUUCCUCAGAACCCUGACAGAAGGUUAACAUUUUACCUUUUUUUCUUGUUUCCACUUUUGGUUUGUAAUCUCUGUUCAUGAAUUUGUUGUUUGUUUUCCAGGGAAGAGUUGGAGCUGGUGCCCAGUCUGGAUUGGGAAGGGCUGGGACCAUCCCUGGAGAGGAUCUGACGUCCCCUCUGAGAAGGCUGAGGACAUCCUUUGGGACACGCUCUUCUUGCGGCAGCAGAUCUUGUGAGAUCCGAGGGAUCUCUGGAUCUUCACGCCAGCCCCAGGACUUUGCUGCAGAAGAGCACAGAUCCCCAGCCCAGUCUGGGACACAGGUGAGAUCCCACUGGAUAACAAGGCAUUCUUUUUGGGAAUCCUGCCCAUGUCAAACGUGUGGCUCUUUCAGCGCACUGGGGGUUCUUUGGUAUUUUGGGAAUCCUGCUCACCUGAGACCUGUGGAUCUUCCAGCGCUUUGGGUGGGUUCUUUGGUACUCUGGAAUUUGGUCUCUGGCUUUGUUGUAUCGAUCACUAUUGUUCUGUACUUGUAUUUGUUUCUGUAUUGUAACAUUUGGGGUCUACUGUUUAGAGCUGGGAAGUGGGCAAUGUGA